RNAcentral lists this transfer RNA (72 nucleotides) under Camelus ferus (Wild Bactrian camel). It matches the Rfam family "tRNA". Rfam says of the family: Transfer RNA (tRNA) molecules are approximately 80 nucleotides in length. Their secondary structure includes four short double-helical elements and three loops (D, anti-codon, and T loops). Further hydrogen bonds mediate the characteristic L-shaped molecular structure. tRNAs have two regions of fundamental functional importance: the anti-codon, which is responsible for specific mRNA codon recognition, and the 3' end, to which the tRNAs corresponding amino acid is attached (by aminoacyl-tRNA synthetases). tRNAs cope with the degeneracy of the genetic code in two manners: having more than one tRNA (with a specific anti-codon) for a particular amino acid; and 'wobble' base-pairing, i.e. permitting non-standard base-pairing at the 3rd anti-codon position. The record is from Rfam by way of RNAcentral. Lineage: Eukaryota; Metazoa; Chordata; Mammalia; Artiodactyla; Camelidae.
GAGAGUAUAGCUUAGUGGCAGAGUGCGUGCUUAGUAUGCACAAGGUCCUAGGUUCAAUCUCCACUACCUUCA